Molecule: ribosomal RNA, 465 nt
Filed under: uncultured ammonia-oxidizing beta proteobacterium
Lineage: Bacteria; Pseudomonadati; Pseudomonadota; Betaproteobacteria
Description: bacterial SSU rRNA
Rfam family: Bacterial small subunit ribosomal RNA
Source: RNAcentral
GGAGGAAAGCAGGGGAUCGAAAGACCUCGCGUUAUUGGAGCGGCCGAUGCCGGAUUAGCUAGUUGGUGAGGUAAAGGCUCACCAAGGCGACGAUCCGUAGCUGGUCUGAGAGGACGACCAGCCACACUGGGACUGAGACACGGCCCAGACUCCUACGGGAGGCAGCAGUGGGGAAUUUUGGACAAUGGGGGCAACCCUGAUCCAGCCAUGCCGCGUGAGUGAAGAAGGCCUUCGGGUUGUAAAGCUCUUUCGCAAGGAAAGAAAACUUAUCUACUAAUACUAGGUGAGGAUGACGGUACCUUGAUAAGAAGCACCGGCUAACUACGUGCCAGCAGCCGCGGUAAUACGUAGGGUGCGAGCGUUAAUCGGAAUUACUGGGCGUAAAGCGUGCGCAGGCGGUUUCGUAAGCCAGAUGUGAAAUCCCCGGGCUCAACCUGGGAACUGCGUUUGAAACUACAAGGCUAG